This 482-nucleotide ribosomal RNA is filed under the name uncultured bacterium. RNAcentral's name for it is "partial 16S ribosomal RNA". It matches the Rfam family "Bacterial small subunit ribosomal RNA", at positions 28 to 507 of the family's 1533-position model. The record is from RNAcentral.
GAUGAACGCUAGCGGCAGGCCUAAUACAUGCAGGUCGGACGGGAUUCAGGAGCUUGCUUCUGAUGAGAGUGGCGCACGGGUGCGUAACACGUAUGUAACCUACCUUUAUCAGGGGGAUAGCCUCUCGAAAGAGAGAUUAAGCCCGCAUAAAAUCACAGCACAGCAUUGUGUAAUGAUCAAAUAUUUAUAGGAUAAAGAUGGGCAUGCGGAACAUUAGCUAGAUGGCGGGGUAACGGCCCACCAUGGCGACGAUGUUUAGGGGAUCUGAGAGGAUGGCCCCCCACACUGGUACUGAGACACGGACCAGACUCCUACGGGAGGCAGCAGUAAGGAAUAUUGGUCAAUGGGCGGAAGCCUGAACCAGCCAUGCCGCGUGCAGGAAGACGGCCCUACGGGUUGUAAACUGCUUUUAUACGGGAAUAAACCCAGAUACGUGUAUCUGGCUGAAUGUACUGUAAGAAUAAGAAUCGGCUAACUCCGUG